ACUGCACAUAUACACCACUGAAGGUUGUUUUAAACAUGCCAAACAUAUAGGGGGCAGCGUAGCACAAAACUAAAACCUACAGUAUGUCAGUCUCAGAUUGCUUCAAAACAACCACAACUUCCUGUUAGGAGUUUA
Molecule: long non-coding RNA, 135 nt
Organism: Xiphophorus hellerii (green swordtail)
Lineage: Eukaryota; Metazoa; Chordata; Actinopteri; Cyprinodontiformes; Poeciliidae
Exons: 4
Source: RefSeq, a predicted model, not a curated record